UACACAGCUAUCCUCGAGGACUCUUGGUUCACAUCGAAGUACAGCUGUCCAGGCUAAAAUUCCCUGCAGAAGCGUUGGUGUCGAAACACUUCCGUUGGAAGUGCCAGUGCCCUUUUUAACAUCCACCCCCUUAAAGAGACCACCAAAGAGGCCCCGUGUGGAUCUUGAAGAGGAAUACGAAGAUCCAUUUGAGGGAAGCUCUUCUUUGGUGUUUUCCGAAGGCCAGGAUGCAACUUAUGAUCCAGCAGAAUCCAUAACAAAUGCUACAGAAACAACAGCCAUGUCUGGUCAAGAACAAAACCCCCCCCCAGACGAUCAACACAUACAUCGUGUAUGAGACCUGCCUCAUGGAGCUUUUUGAAUCAUGUCCUGUGUGCAAGCGUGUGUGUGAUGUACAAACCAGAAGGAUCGGUACAUUCAUAUCAGUGCAGCAGCUGUGCCCCCAUUGUCAGUUUACAAGAAACUGGAAUAGCCAGCCUGUUCUUGGGAGUACUCCAGUUGGAAACCUGUAGCUAUCAGUUGCAACAUAUGUCAACGGAGCAUCUUUCUACAAACUUUCAAAGGUCUUCAAAGCAAUGAAUAUGCAGCUAUGCAAAUACAACACCUUCCGAAGGCAUGCCAGGAUGUUCAUUGAGCCAGCGAUUGUUUCUUACUGGCAAAAAUCACAGGAAGGCAUGCUACAGAAGCUCCAUGCAGAGGAGAAAGUGAUAGUUGGUGGUGAUAUGAGGGCUGACUCCCCAGGCCACUCUGCAAAGUUCGGAAGCUACACUAUGAUGGACCUGAAGAACAACAAAGUCGUUGACCUCCAGUUGGUUCAGAGCAAUGAGGUUGGUGGAAGCUACCACAUGGAGUUAGAGGGCCUGAAAAGGAGUCUGGAGUUGUUAAAGGAACGUGGUGUGACUCUGGACUGUAUUGUCACGGACAGACAUCUGCAAAUUCAGAAAUUCCUAAGGGAAAGCAGCAUCACCCAAUUCUUUGAUGUGUGGCACAUAGA
This is a long non-coding RNA of Gymnodraco acuticeps, 994 nucleotides long. RefSeq lists it as uncharacterized. The transcript is spliced from 6 exons. The record is from RefSeq and is a predicted model, not a curated record. Lineage: Eukaryota; Metazoa; Chordata; Actinopteri; Perciformes; Bathydraconidae.